AGCGUGGAGACAGGUGGUGCAUGGCUGUCAUCAGCUCGUGUCGUGAGAUGUUGGGUUAAGUCCCGCAACGAGCGCAACCCUCACCUCUUGUUGCCAUCAGGUCAUGCUGGGCACUCUAGAGGAACUGCCCCGGUCAACGGGGAGGAAGGCGGGGAUGACGUCAAGUCAUCAUGCCCCUUACGUCCUGGGCUACACACGUGCUACAAUGGCCGGUACAAAGGGAUGCCACACCGCGAGGUAGAGCUAAACCCAAAAAGCCGGUCUAAGUUCAGAUUGGAGUCUGCAACUCGACUCCAUGAAGGAGGAAUCGCUAGUAAUCGCGUAUCAGCACGACGCGGUGAAUACGUUCCCGGGCCUUGUACACACCGCCCGUCACACCACGAAAGCCUGCUGUACUCGAAGUCGCUGAG
This 410-nucleotide ribosomal RNA is filed under the name uncultured Methylomirabilota bacterium. RNAcentral's name for it is "bacterial SSU rRNA". It matches the Rfam family "Bacterial small subunit ribosomal RNA", at positions 1025 to 1434 of the family's 1533-position model. Lineage: Bacteria; Methylomirabilota (SeqCode). The record is from RNAcentral.